RNAcentral lists this ribosomal RNA (253 nucleotides) under uncultured bacterium. Its description in RNAcentral is "partial 16S ribosomal RNA". It matches the Rfam family "Bacterial small subunit ribosomal RNA", at positions 524 to 776 of the family's 1533-position model. The record is from RNAcentral.
UACGUAGGCAGCAAGCGUUGUUCGGAAUUACUGGGCGUAAAGGGCUCGUAGGCGGCCAACUAAGUCAGACGUGAAAUCCCCAGGCUCAACCUGGGAACUGCGUCUGAUACUGGUUGGCUUGAAUCCGGGAGAGGGAUGCAGAAUUCCAGGUGUAGCGGUGAAAUGCGUAGAUAUCUGGAGGAAUACCGGUGGCGAAGGCGGCAUCCUGGACCGGCAUUGACGCUGAGGAGCGAAAGCCAGGGGAGCAAACGGG